AACGUAGGACACAAGCGUUAUUCGGAAUUAUUGGGCGUAAAGGGCGCGUAGGCGGCUAUGCAAGUGACGGGUGAAAUCCCUCGGCUUAACCGAGGAACUGCCUGUCAGACUGUGUGGCUUGAGACCGGGAGAGGUGAGUGGAAUUCCCAGUGUAGCGGUGAAAUGCGUAGAUAUUGGGAGGAACACCAGUGGCGAAGGCGGCUCACUGGACCGGAACUGACGCUGAGGCGCGAAAGCGUGGGGAGCAAACAGG
RNAcentral lists this ribosomal RNA (253 nucleotides) under uncultured bacterium. RNAcentral describes it as "partial 16S ribosomal RNA". It matches the Rfam family "Bacterial small subunit ribosomal RNA", at positions 524 to 776 of the family's 1533-position model. The record is from RNAcentral.